GCCAGACUCCUACGGGAGGCAGCAGUGGGGAAUAUUGCACAAUGGGGGAAACCCUGAUGCAGCGACGCCGCGUGAGCGAUGAAGUAUUUCGGUAUGUAAAGCUCUAUCAGCAGGGAAGAAGAUGACGGUACCUGACUAAGAAGCCCCGGCUAACUACGUGCCAGCAGCCGCGGUAAUACGUAGGGGGCAAGCGUUAUCCGGAUUUACUGGGUGUAAAGGGAGCGUAGACGGCGAUGCAAGCCAGAUGUGAAAGCCCGGGGCUCAACCCCGGGACUGCAUUUGGAACUGCGUGGCUGGAGUGCAGGAGGGGCAGGCGGAAUUCCUGGUGUAGCGGUGAAAUGCGUAGAUAUCAGGAGGAACACCGGCGGCGAAGGCGGCCUGCUGGACCGUGACUGACGUUGAGGCUCGAGAGCGUGGGGAGCAAACAGGAUUAGAUACCCCUGUA
RNAcentral lists this ribosomal RNA (445 nucleotides) under uncultured bacterium. Its description in RNAcentral is "bacterial SSU rRNA". It matches the Rfam family "Bacterial small subunit ribosomal RNA", at positions 330 to 792 of the family's 1533-position model. The record is from RNAcentral.